UACGUAGGUGGCAAGCGUUGUCCGGAUUUACUGGGCGUAAAGAGCGCGCAGGCGGUCGUUCAAGUCGCGUGUGAAAGCCCCCGGCUCAACUGGGGAGGGUCACGCGAUACUGAUCGACUCGAAGGCAGGAGAGGGUAGUGGAAUUCCCGGUGUAGUGGUGAAAUGCGUAGAUAUCGGGAGGAACACCAGUGGCGAAGGCGACUACCUGGCCUGUUCUUGACGCUGAGGCGAGAAAGCUAGGGGAGCAAACGGG
Molecule: ribosomal RNA, 253 nt
Filed under: uncultured bacterium
Lineage: Bacteria
Description: partial 16S ribosomal RNA
Rfam family: Bacterial small subunit ribosomal RNA
Source: RNAcentral